Molecule: non-coding RNA, 231 nt
Organism: Pelobates cultripes (western spadefoot toad)
Lineage: Eukaryota; Metazoa; Chordata; Amphibia; Anura; Pelobatidae
Source: the annotation of a GenBank genome assembly
ACUGGAAAUAGGGGAGUAGCAAAUCAAUCUACUACUGGCAGAUGAAGUAGCAUUGGAAGAAUGGGAUAGUACUAAGCAGGGAAAGAUGCAGAUUGAGCAACUACUGAAUGGCGAAGAGGGGAGAAUAAAAUUCUACUAGGCAGGGGAGGAGAGAAUGGGUUACUAUUGGGCAGGAAAUGUGACAGAAUUACCUAAUACUGGGCUCAGGGAUGGGCUACUACUGGACAAGGG